RNAcentral lists this ribosomal RNA (675 nucleotides) under uncultured archaeon. RNAcentral's name for it is "bacterial SSU rRNA". It matches the Rfam family "Archaeal small subunit ribosomal RNA", at positions 150 to 828 of the family's 1478-position model. The record is from RNAcentral.
ACCGCGAUAGGUCAAGAUUUCUGGAAUGGAUCCUGGCUUAAAUCUACAUGGCCCCUGGAUUGGACUGCGGCCGAUCAGGCUGUUGGUGAGGUAAUGGCCCACCAAACCUAUAACCGGUACGGGCUCUGAGAGGAGAAGCCCGGAGAUGGGCACUGAGACAAGGGCCCAGGCCCUAUGGGGCGCAGCAGGCGCGAAACCUCUGCAAUGGGCGAAAGCCUGACAGGGUUACUCUGAGUGAUUUCCGCUAAGGAGAUCUUUUGGCAGCUCUAAAAAUGGUGCAGAAUAAGGGGUGGGCAAGUCUGGUGUCAGCCGCCGCGGUAAUACCAGCACCCCGAGUGGUCGGGACGAUUAUUGGGCCUAAAGCAUCCGUAGCCGGUUGUGCAAGUCCUCCGUUAAAUCCAGCCGCUCAACGGAUGGGCUGCGGAGGAUACUACAGGACUAGGAGGCGGGAGAGGCAAGCGGUACUUAGUGGGUAGGGGUAAAAUCCUUUGAUCCAUUGAAGACCACCAGUGGCGAAGGCGGCUUGCCAGAACGCGCUCGACGGUGAGGGAUGAAAGCUGGGGGAGCAAACCGGAUUAGAUACCCGGGUAGUCCCAGCUGUAAACGAUGCAGACUCGGUGAUGGGCUAGCCUCGUGUCAGCCCAGUGCCGCAGGGAAGCCGUUAAGUCUGCCGCC